This 387-nucleotide unclassified non-coding RNA is filed under the name soil metagenome. RNAcentral's name for it is "partial contains 5.8S ribosomal RNA, internal transcribed spacer 2, and large subunit ribosomal RNA". The stretch from base 1 to 120 matches the Rfam family "5.8S ribosomal RNA", at positions 35 to 154 of the family's 154-position model. The record is from RNAcentral.
GAUGAAGAACGCAGUGAAAUGCGAUAAGUAAUGUGAAUUGCAGAAUUCAGUGAAUCAUCGAAUCUUUGAACGCACCUUGCGCUCCUUGGUAUUCCGAGGAGCAUGCCUGUUUGAGUGUCAUGAAAUUCUCAACCUUUUCAGCUUUCUUUGUUGAUCAGGCUUGGAUGUGGGAGUAUGCGGGCUUCUCAGAAGUCGGCUCUCCUGAAAUGCAUUAGCGGGACCUUUGUUGCCUGGCUUUGGUGUGAUAAUUAUCUACGCCAUUGUAGUCAAGCAGCUUAAAAUGAGGUUUCAGCUUCUAACCGUCUCCCCUGAGACAACUUUUUGACAAUUUGACCUCAAAUCAGGUAGGACCACCCGCUGAACUUAAGCAUAUCAAUAAGCGGAGGA